Molecule: ribosomal RNA, 481 nt
Filed under: uncultured bacterium
Lineage: Bacteria
Description: SSU rRNA
Rfam family: Bacterial small subunit ribosomal RNA
Source: RNAcentral
AGAAUGAACGUUGGCGGCGUGGAUUAGGCAUGCAAGUCGUACGGGGCCGCAAGGUACCCGUGGCGCAAGGGUGAGUAAUGCGACGGUAACUUACCCCAGGGCUGGCCAUAGCCGCGGGAAACCGCGGGUAAUUGCCAGCGACGUGGCCGGGGGCAUCUCCUGGCCACCAAAGGUGUGAUUCCGCCCUGGGACGGGCCGUCGUGGUAUUAGGUAGUUGGCGGGGUGAUGGCCCACCAAGCCUCUGAUGCCUACCGGGCGUGCGAGCGUGGCCCGGCACACUGGGACUGAGACACUGCCCAGACUCCUACGGGAGGCUGCAGUCGAGAAUCUUCGGCAAUGGGCGCAAGCCUGACCGAGCGACGCCGCGUGGAGGACGAAGGCCUUCGGGUUGUAAACUCCUGUCGAGGGGAGGAAGGGCGGCGAGAGUCGUCCUUGACCGCUCCCUGGAGGAAGCACGGGCUAAGUUCGCGCCAGCAGCCGC